RNAcentral lists this ribosomal RNA (586 nucleotides) under uncultured bacterium. Its description in RNAcentral is "bacterial SSU rRNA". It matches the Rfam family "Bacterial small subunit ribosomal RNA", at positions 338 to 916 of the family's 1533-position model. The record is from RNAcentral.
CCUACGGGAGGCAGCAGUGGGGAAUUUUGGACAAUGGGGGCAACCCUGAUCCAGCAAUGCCGCGUGAGUGAAGAAGGCCUUCGGGUUGUAAAGCUCUUUUGUCAGGGAAGAAACAGCAGCUCUAACACAGUCUGCGAAUGACGGUACCUGAAGAAUAAGCACCGGCUAACUACGUGCCAGCAGCCGCGGUAAUACAUAGGGUGCAAGCGUUGUCCGGAAUUAUUGGGCGUAAAGAGCUCGUAGGUCGUUUGUUACGUCGGAUGUGAAAACCUGAGGCUCAACCUCAGGCCUGCAUUCGAUACGGGCAAACUAGAGUUUGGUAGGGGAGACUGGAAUUCCUGGUGUAGCGGUGGAAUGCGCAGAUAUCAGGAGGAACACCAAUGGCGAAGGCAGGUCUCUGGGCCAAUACUGACACUGAGGAGCGAAAGUCUGGGGAGCGAACAGGAUUAGAUACCCUGGUAGUCCAGACCGUAAACGGUGGGCACUAGUUGUGGGAACCUUCCACGGUUUCUGCGACGCAGCUAACGCAUUAAGUGCCCCGCCUGGGGAGUACGAUCGCAAGAUUAAAACUCAAAGGAAUUGACGG